AACGAACGCUGGCGGCAUGCCUAACACAUGCAAGUCGAACGAGACCUUCGGGUCUAGUGGCGCACGGGUGCGUAACGCGUGGGAAUCUGCCCUUGGGUUCGGAAUAACAGUUAGAAAUGACUGCUAAUACCGGAUGAUGUCUUCGGACCAAAGAUUUAUCGCCCAGGGAUGAGCCCGCGUAGGAUUAGCUAGUUGGUGGGGUAAAGGCCUACCAAGGCGACGAUCCUUAGCUGGUCUGAGAGGAUGAUCAGCCACACUGGGACUGAGACACGGCCCAGACUCCUACGGGAGGCAGCAGUGGGGAAUAUUGGACAAUGGGCGAAAGCCUGAUCCAGCAAUGCCGCGUGAGUGAUGAAGGCCUUAGGGUUGUAAAGCUCUUUUACCCGGGAUGAUAAUGACAGUACCGGGAGAAUAAGACCCCGGCUAACUCCGUGCCAGCAGCCGCGGUAAU
This 451-nucleotide ribosomal RNA is filed under the name uncultured bacterium. Its description in RNAcentral is "bacterial SSU rRNA". It matches the Rfam family "Bacterial small subunit ribosomal RNA", at positions 29 to 524 of the family's 1533-position model. The record is from RNAcentral.